UGUCUCCAUUGAUUCAAGUUGAGUUGGUAUUAACAAUGGAAGGUAUCUACGACUGUUGCAUAAUGGUUGAAGAGACCCAAUUGAAUAUAAAGGUAGGGGUUGGAAUUAUGUAAUGGGUUUAUACAUAUAAAUGGGUUAUUGUGUUUUUUUCCAAUAAUAAAAAUAUUAAUGCGUCUGAAUAUUUAAAAAAAAAUUAUAAUAAAAAUACAAGAUAUUGGAAGGAAGAUUUUGGUAGGUGAAAAGAGUGUUAAAAGUAUUUAGGGGAGGAUGUGAAACUUUUGAGAAACGGAAGACUACCUUUAUUAUUGAGUGUUUAUAAUUU
Molecule: long non-coding RNA, 322 nt
Organism: Lathyrus oleraceus (garden pea)
Lineage: Eukaryota; Viridiplantae; Streptophyta; Magnoliopsida; Fabales; Fabaceae
Exons: 3
Source: RefSeq, a predicted model, not a curated record